AACGAACGCUGGCGGCAUGCCUAACACAUGCAAGUCGAACGAGACCUUCGGGUCUAGCAGCGCACGGGUGCGUAACGCGUGGGAACCUGCCCUUAGGUUCGGAAUAACUCCCCGAAAGGGGUGCUAAUACCGGAUAAUGUCUUCGGACCAAAGAUUUAUCGCCUUUGGAUGGGCCCGCGUUGGAUUAGCUAGUUGGUAGGGUAAAAGCCUACCAAGGCGACGAUCCAUAGCUGGUCUGAGAGGAUGAUCAGCCACACUGGGACUGAGACACGGCCCAGACUCCUACGGGAGGCAGCAGUGGGGAAUAUUGGACAAUGGGCGCAAGCCUGAUCCAGCAAUGCCGCGUGAGUGAUGAAGGCCUUAGGGUUGUAAAGCUCUUUUACACGCGAUGAUAAUGACAGUACCGGGAGAAUAAGCUCCGGCUAACUCCGUG
This 433-nucleotide ribosomal RNA is filed under the name uncultured bacterium. RNAcentral describes it as "partial 16S ribosomal RNA". It matches the Rfam family "Bacterial small subunit ribosomal RNA", at positions 29 to 507 of the family's 1533-position model. The record is from RNAcentral.